Long non-coding RNA from Argiope bruennichi, 334 nucleotides. RefSeq lists it as uncharacterized. The record is from RefSeq and is a predicted model, not a curated record. NCBI's taxonomy places the organism in Eukaryota, Metazoa, Arthropoda, Arachnida, Araneae, Araneidae. The transcript is spliced from 5 exons.
ACAAAAAAAUUCUGCUUUGCAGACUAUAUAAGUUGAAUACAAUCCUUCAGAAGCACACUUGAUCUGACCAAGUUGUAGCUCUACAAUGAAAGCAAUAUUCGCACUCUUUUUGAUAGUCGCCAUCAUAGGAAUGGCUAUGGCUGGAGUUCACCAUUACAAAGUUAAAGGCGGUGGAGGUCAUGACUCUGCCCAUCAUGGAGGAAGUAUAUUUGAUGCUGUUGCAAGUGGCAUUAAUGGAUUAUUCGGCUAAACGAAUGAAUUAUGUAAAAGGACUACUGAAAAAUGUACGAAUGUUAUCCUAAUUUGAAAUAAAAAUUAUAGCUGCAUUUUACAA